GAUGAACGCUGGCGGCGUGCCUAAUACAUGCAAGUAGAACGCUGAAGGAGGAGCUUGCUCUUCUGGAUGAGUUGCGAACGGGUGAGUAACGCGUAGGUAACCUGCCUGGUAGCGGGGGAUAACUAUUGGAAACGAUAGCUAAUACCGCAUGACAACAGUUAUUGCAUGAUAACUGUUUAAAAGGGGCAACUGCUCCACUACCAGAUGGACCUGCGUUGUAUUAGCUAGUUGGUGAGGUAACGGCUCACCAAGGCGACGAUACAUAGCCGACCUGAGAGGGUGAUCGGCCACACUGGGACUGAGACACGGCCCAGACUCCUACGGGAGGCAGCAGUAGGGAAUCUUCGGCAAUGGACGGAAGUCUGAACGAGCAACGCCGCGUGAGGGAAGAAGGUUUUCGGAUCGUAAAGCUCUGUUGUAAGAGAAGAACGAGUGUGAGAGUGGAAAGUUCACACUGUGACGGUAUCUUACCAGAAAGGGACGGCUAACUACGUG
Molecule: ribosomal RNA, 495 nt
Filed under: uncultured bacterium
Lineage: Bacteria
Description: partial 16S ribosomal RNA
Rfam family: Bacterial small subunit ribosomal RNA
Source: RNAcentral